ACACAGCAAGGUCCUGUCUCUUAAAAACAAAAAGUCUAAAGUUCACCAGUUUCUCUCUCUUCCUUUCAAACAACAAAAGGACUAACAUUUCAACUAUCAACGUGCCUCUCCAGUUUUACAAGUUAUUGCUGCCCAGUAUUUCAGUUCUAAGACAUGAAAGCCAUUUGCAGCAAAGACUGAACCAACCAACAUUUAAAUAAAAUCUGAGAACAAGGCCAUUUCUAAAAUAAGAUACAAAACCAGGUGAAAGGCCAGUAUUGCUCUGAGAAGAGACCAGGAGAAAAAGAAAACACUCGGCACUAAGAAUCAUUCUUGUGCCAAACUAUGAAGAGAGGAAAGCUAUAUAAGGAAAAUCCAUGAGCUUGGAGUUAAUGUUUAGUAUAACAAAAGUACAUUCAAUACACAUCAACCUAGAUAGCUACAAAAAUGGCUCUUUGGAAAAUAAAAAGCAAAAUUGAAAAAAAAAAAAAAAAAAAAGGUUCUACAAAGUUCACUUUCUCCCGUGUAUGGAGUUUUAUGAAGCCCUCAAGAUGGCAAAUAGAUUAAUAUAAAGUGGUCACUGAUUGCCUGGCCAUUUAUUCUUUCUGGCCCUGAAAUUUCACAGUGAAUCUUAACAUUUUGAAAGAACAGAGGAACUGCUAUUCUUUAGUUUGGGAAGAACUUAUUCAGCAUAAGACUGAUCAGCAACUUUCACUACACCCUUCCCAAACCACCCCCAACCUCCAUAUCACUUCUUUACUGUUAGUUUAGUAAAAGUUCAUUGACCUUAAGUGAACUCCCAGAAAACUAUUAAACUGGAUUUUAAAAGUU
RNAcentral lists this long non-coding RNA (810 nucleotides) under Homo sapiens (human). Its description in RNAcentral is "HSALNT0364014". The record is from RNAcentral. Lineage: Eukaryota; Metazoa; Chordata; Mammalia; Primates; Hominidae.